Molecule: ribosomal RNA, 79 nt
Filed under: Shewanella baltica
Lineage: Bacteria; Pseudomonadati; Pseudomonadota; Gammaproteobacteria; Alteromonadales; Shewanellaceae
Also listed under: 1 other name
Description: partial 16S ribosomal RNA
Rfam family: Bacterial small subunit ribosomal RNA
Source: RNAcentral
UAAUUGAAGAGUUUGAUCAUGGCUCAGAUUGAACGCUGGCGGCAGGCCUAACACAUGCAAGUCGAGCGGCAGCGGGAAG